RNAcentral lists this ribosomal RNA (481 nucleotides) under uncultured bacterium. RNAcentral's name for it is "bacterial SSU rRNA". It matches the Rfam family "Bacterial small subunit ribosomal RNA", at positions 29 to 506 of the family's 1533-position model. The record is from RNAcentral.
AUGAACGCUAGCGGCAGGCUUAAUACAUGCAAGUCGAGGGGCAGCACGAAUAGCAAUAUUUGGUGGCGACCGGCGCACGGGUGCGUAACACGUAUACAAUCUACCUAAAACAGGGGGAUAGCCUUUCGAAAGAGAGAUUAAUACCCCGUAAUAAAUUUAAUGGCAUCAUUAGAUUUUGAAAGCUGAGGCGGUUUUAGAUGAGUAUGCGUCUGAUUAGCUAGUUGGUAGUGUAAUGGACUACCAAGGCGACGAUCAGUAGGGGAUCUGAGAGGACUACCCCCCACACUGGUACUGAGACACGGACCAGACUCCUACGGGAGGCAGCAGUAAGGAAUAUUGGUCAAUGGAGGCAACUCUGAACCAGCCAUGCCGCGUGCAGGAAGACGGCCCUAUGGGUUGUAAACUGCUUUUGUACCAGAGAAAACCACUUUACGUGUAGAGUGUUGAUAGUAUGGUAAGAAUAAGCAUCGGCUAACUUCGU